GAUGAACGCUGGCGGCGUGCCUAAUACAUGCAAGUCGAGCGAACAGACGAGGAGCUUGCUCCUCUGACGUUAGCGGCUGACGGGUGAGUAACACGUGGAUAACCUAUCUAUAAGACUGGGAUAACUUCGGGAAACCGGAGCUCAUAACGGAUAAUAUAUUGAACCGCAUGGUUCAAUAGUGAAAGCCGGUUUUGCUGUCACUUAUCGAUGGAUCCGCGCCGCAUUAGCUAGUUGGUAAGGUAACGACUUACCAAGGCAACGAUGCGUAGCCGACCUGAGAGGGUAAUCGGCCACACUGGAACUGAGACACGCUCCAGACUCCUACGGGAGGCAGCAGUAGGGAAUCUUCCGCAAUGGGCGAAAGCCUGACGGAGCAACGCCGCGUGAGUGAUGAAGGUCUUCGGAUCGUAAAACUCUGUUAUUAGGGAAGAACAAAUGUGUAAGUAACUAUGCACGGCUUGACGGUACCUAAUCAGAAAGCCACGGCUAACUACGUG
This 497-nucleotide ribosomal RNA is filed under the name uncultured bacterium. RNAcentral describes it as "partial 16S ribosomal RNA". It matches the Rfam family "Bacterial small subunit ribosomal RNA", at positions 28 to 507 of the family's 1533-position model. The record is from RNAcentral.